RNAcentral lists this ribosomal RNA (447 nucleotides) under uncultured Alphaproteobacteria bacterium. Its description in RNAcentral is "bacterial SSU rRNA". It matches the Rfam family "Bacterial small subunit ribosomal RNA", at positions 40 to 532 of the family's 1533-position model. The record is from RNAcentral. Lineage: Bacteria; Pseudomonadati; Pseudomonadota; Alphaproteobacteria.
CGGCAGGCCUAACACAUGCAAGUCGAGCGCCCUGCUUGCAGGGAGCGGCGGACGGGUGAGUAACGCGUGGGAACGUGCCUUUUAGUUCAGGAUAGCCACUGGAAACGGUGAGUAAUACUGGAUACGCCCUAAGAGGGGAAAGAUUUAUCGCUAAAAGAUCGGCCCGCGUUGGAUUAGCUAGUUGGUGGGGUAAUGGCCUACCAAGGCGACGAUCUAUAGCUGGUCUGAGAGGAUGAUCAGCCACACUGGGACUGAGACACGGCCCAGACUCCUACGGGAGGCAGCAGUGGGGAAUAUUGGACAAUGGGGGCAACCCUGAUCCAGCCAUGCCGCGUGAGUGAAGAAGGCCCUAGGGUUGUAAAGCUCUUUCAGGUGUGAGGAUGAUGACAGUAGCACCAGAAGAAGCCCCGGCUAACUUCGUGCCAGCAGCCGCGGUAAUACGAAGGG